CCUACGGGAGGCAGCAGUGGGGAAUUUUGGACAAUGGGCGCAAGCCUGAUCCAGCAAUGCCGCGUGAGUGAAGAAGGCCUUCGGGUUGUAAAGCUCUUUUGUCAGGGAAGAAACGGUGGGAGCUAAUAUCUCCCGCUAAUGACGGUACCUGAAGAAUAAGCACCGGCUAACUACGUGCCAGCAGCCGCGGUAAUACGUAGGGUGCAAGCGUUAAUCGGAAUUACUGGGCGUAAAGCGUGCGCAGGCGGUUUUGUAAGUCUGUCGUGAAAGCCCCGGGCUCAACCUGGGAAUUGCGAUGGAGACUGCAAGGCUUGAAUCUGGCAGAGGGGGGUAGAAUUCCACGUGUAGCAGUGAAAUGCGUAGAGAUGUGGAGGAACACCGAUGGCGAAGGCAGCCCCCUGGGUCAAGAUUGACGCUCAUGCACGAAAGCGUGGGGAGCAAACAGGAUUAGAUACCCUGGUAGUCCACGCCCUAAACGAUGUCUACUAGUUGUCGGGUUUUAAUUAACUUGGUAACGCAGCUAACGCGUGAAGUAGACCGCCUGGGGAUACGGUCGCAAGAUUAAAACUCAAAGGAAUUGACCGGNNGAGAGNGACGAGACGACGACGAGGAGGAGG
This 617-nucleotide ribosomal RNA is filed under the name uncultured bacterium. RNAcentral's name for it is "bacterial SSU rRNA". It matches the Rfam family "Bacterial small subunit ribosomal RNA", at positions 338 to 950 of the family's 1533-position model. The record is from RNAcentral.